Molecule: long non-coding RNA, 925 nt
Organism: Saccostrea cuccullata (small rock oyster)
Lineage: Eukaryota; Metazoa; Mollusca; Bivalvia; Ostreida; Ostreidae
Exons: 5
Source: RefSeq, a predicted model, not a curated record
UGUAUAUAUAUAUGAAAUAUUGCUUAGGGAGACCACGGAAGAUAUAUUAUCUGGCUUAGGGAGACCGCUGGAUUAAGGCGACCUUUUUUGGUCUCCCUAAUAUUUUGACCUCAUGAGUAUUGCAAAUGUCGUGUUUUUGGUAAAUAAACAGUCUUCCAUUAGAUAAAAGUGAUGUUUUUGUCUGCGAUUUAACAUUAAAAAGUUGUCAAAUUUCUAUCAUAUUACCUGAAAAAGAAAAGAAUGUAUUACCUGUGUAUAAUUUCAAAGGAUAUUUUUUCAGCAUUGUGGAGACCACGGAAAACGUGCAAUUUAACAAAAAAUCUUGCAUAUAUAAUUUUUUCCGCGUUAAAUUAUUUUAAAUGAGUGUUUCUUCGACUUAUUUUUCCAUUUUUUAUGUUAAAAAACUAAAGAGGAAAAAUAUUCUAAAUUUAUGCAUCAAGUUCUGAAUUCUUAGCAAGUGCUUUCCGUCAUUUGUUCCGAAUACCAUCGGAAUGCCUCUUCAGUUUUCAGAAAAUGACCUUUCAACACCAUAAUUGUUGAGAAAGAGUUGUAUUGCGUGACAGACUCAGAGAACCAGAAUAUUUCAGAGAAGAACGACGAGAUCAACGAGGAGGCUCAAAACAGUAUUGAGGGUCUGUGCUAGAAUUUGUUGGACCCCAGUGUAACACUUUUAUGGACAGAGAGGAAAUCUUAUCUCAAGGGUCAACAUGUCUUUAUUCCAAGAAAGGGGUGUAUGCCAGAAUCUUUUGAAGAACAGUCUGAAUCUAACAUGGAAUCAAAGUACUGAAAGUACUGCUACGAGUUGAUGGGGUGUAUGCCAGAAUCUUUUGAAGAACAGUCUGAAUAUAACAUGGAAAAAUGAGGAAGAACAGCCUUCCAGCUUACAAAUCUAUAUUUUGACAAAGGGUAAUUUUGUUUUUAAUUC